GCAGUCGAGCGGACAGAAGGGAGCUUGCUCCCGGAUGUUAGCGGCGGACGGGUGAGUAACACGUGGGUAACCUGCCUGUAAGACUGGGAUAACUCCGGGAAACCGGAGCUAAUACCGGAUAGUUCCUUGAACCGCAUGGUUCAAGGAUGAAAGACGGUUUCGGCUGUCACUUACAGAUGGACCCGCGGCGCAUUAGCUAGUUGGUGAGGUAACGGCUCACCAAGGCGACGAUGCGUAGCCGACCUGAGAGGGUGAUCGGCCACACUGGGACUGAGACACGGCCCAGACUCCUACGGGAGGCAGCAGUAGGGAAUCUUCCGCAAUGGACGAAAGUCUGACGGAGCAACGCCGCGUGAGUGAUGAAGGUUUUCGGAUCGUAAAGCUCUGUUGUUAGGGAAGAACAAGUGCAAGAGUAACUGCUUGCACCUUGACGGUACCUAACCAGAAAGCCACGGCUAACUACGUGCCAGCAGCCGCGGUAAUACGUAGGUGGCAAGCGUUGUCCGGAAUUAUUGGGCGUAAAGGGCUCGCAGGCGGUUUCUUAAGUCUGAUGUGAAAGCCCCCGGCUCAACCGGGGAGGGUCAUUGGAAACUGGGAAACUUGAGUGCAGAAGAGGAGAGUGGAAUUCCACGUGUAGCGGUGAAAUGCGUAGAGAUGUGGAGGAACACCAGUGGCGAAGGCGACUCUCUGGUCUGUAACUGACGCUGAGGAGCGAAAGCGUGGGGAGCGAACAGGAUUAGAUACCCUGGUAGUCCACGCCGUAAACGAUGAGUGCUAAGUGUUAGGGGGUUUCCGCCCCUUAGUGCUGCAGCUAACGCAUUAAGCACUCCGCCUGGGGAGUACGGUCGCAAGACUGAAACUCAAAGGAAUUGACGG
RNAcentral lists this ribosomal RNA (876 nucleotides) under Bacillus altitudinis. Its description in RNAcentral is "bacterial SSU rRNA". It matches the Rfam family "Bacterial small subunit ribosomal RNA", at positions 57 to 916 of the family's 1533-position model. The record is from RNAcentral. Lineage: Bacteria; Bacillati; Bacillota; Bacilli; Caryophanales; Bacillaceae.